AAAAAAAAAAAGCAAAGCUGUCUUGUGGCGCAUGAAUCAUGUGCUGCAAGGUGAGAUGGUCUCGUUCUUAUAUAUUUUCUUUGUUCCACUACCUUAAGGGGUGCUAUAGGAGUCAAUUAUUUGGUAUCUUUGAGGAAAUUUGGCAUUGGAGGUACGUGAUUAGAGGAUUUUAUAAAGAUGAACUUGGGCAUUUUGGUAGAAGGAAAGAUUGUUGGAGGCCAUCACAUUAUGCAAUUUUUGAUGUGAUUCGAAGUAUUUGGUUGGCAAUAAAUGCUUGGAUCCUUGAGAAUCACAGUGUCUUGUGAUAAAAGAAUUUUUGUUCUUUAUAUGGACUUUUGCUUUUGGGUCUCCCAAGCGUCCUAUACUCAUUCUCAAGUUUGGAAGUUGCUAUUUUAUUAGUUUUUCUUUAACUUUGGUAUAUUCUCAAGUUUGGAAGUUGCUAUUUUAUUAGUUUUUCUUUAACUUUGGUAUUCUUUUCUGGUUUCCUUGGGAAGAGGAUGCUUUCUUCAACUUUUUUCUUUUUUAGUUCAUAUCUUUUAAAAGAAAGGUUUAAUGAGAAAUUUUAUUUUUUGCGCACUUUUUCAAUGUACGCUAAUCAUUUUAAUUUCUUGGAUUUAAGCCCAUCUUUAUAAUGAUAUUGGUAAUAAUUUUGGCCAAUUUAGUGAGGGGGAAGUAAAUGUAUAUGCAAAGUCUACUGUCUACAUGACUAUUUCAGUUGGCGAAAAGAAGAGGUUAUCUUUUCUUUCUUUGCAAUGCUGUGAAAUAUGAAAUAUUCAUUUUUACUUUUCCUUGUAAAAUAUAUUUAUGUUAUUUUUUUUUCAAUAAUUGAUGAACAAAAAUAUUAAUUAUUUUAGAAAGAAAAUUUAAGAAAAAAAAUAUUUUGUAUUAUCAACACUAUAAAGGAAAAUAAACCUGAUUUUUUUGUCUAUUAAGUUAGCUACAUAGGCAUCACAUGUGGACACUGAUUCUCACUCGCUAACUUGGCUAAAAUUGUUAACAAUAUCACAAGGUUAGGCUAAAAAAAGU
RNAcentral lists this unclassified non-coding RNA (1026 nucleotides) under Hevea brasiliensis (rubber tree). Lineage: Eukaryota; Viridiplantae; Streptophyta; Magnoliopsida; Malpighiales; Euphorbiaceae. The record is from RNAcentral.